CUCGGGUAAGUCCUACACGACCAGCUCCCUCCCAAUCCCCCAGGUCCUGACCGAAGCAAGGGCAAGAGGUUGAGCGGUGCGAUGUAGCAAGCUUACCCU
This 99-nucleotide signal recognition particle RNA is filed under the name human gut metagenome. RNAcentral describes it as "Bacteroidales small SRP". It matches the Rfam family "Bacteroidales small SRP". From Rfam's summary of the family: The non-coding component of the signal recognition particle in Bacteroides The record is from RNAcentral. RNAcentral also lists the same sequence under 2 other names.